Molecule: ribosomal RNA, 161 nt
Filed under: uncultured bacterium
Lineage: Bacteria
Description: partial 16S rRNA
Rfam family: Bacterial small subunit ribosomal RNA
Source: RNAcentral
GGAAUCUUCCACAAUGGACGCAAGUCUGAUGGAGCAACGCCGCGUGAGUGAAGAAGAUCUUCGGAUCGUAAAACUCUGUUGUUAGAGAAGAACAUGCAGGAGAGUAACUGUUCUUGUAUUGACGGUAUCUAACCAGAAAGCCACGGCUAACUACGUGCCAG